This 369-nucleotide ribosomal RNA is filed under the name Triticum aestivum (bread wheat). Its description in RNAcentral is "partial small subunit ribosomal RNA". Lineage: Eukaryota; Viridiplantae; Streptophyta; Magnoliopsida; Poales; Poaceae. The record is from RNAcentral.
AUGGCUGAUCCUCGGCAGGAGAGAGUGUGCAGACUAUGUAAAUACCCGAUACAAAUAUGUGCUCGUGGUCUUCCGUUCUCCGAAUUUUCGUUCAGAGUACCGAGACAAUUCAGAUGCACGAUGAUAGAGCCAACAUAUGAAUGGUACGAGUUUGAUGUUCUACAGCGUGGAUCGAAAUACAUCCUCGCCGGAGAAAAGGAGAUGUUUGCUAGUAUAUACAAAAUCAACAAGGGCGACACGCUGCAUUUGAACGGUUGUUCACUUGUGCACGAACACCUGGUUUUUGGCCAUUUACGCCGACUGUCAGGCGAUAUCGCAGUGCCAAGAUGUACAAUAGAUGAGUACGAGGCGGAACAACGAAUUGUGUAG